Molecule: ribosomal RNA, 255 nt
Filed under: uncultured bacterium
Lineage: Bacteria
Description: partial 16S ribosomal RNA
Rfam family: Bacterial small subunit ribosomal RNA
Source: RNAcentral
UACGGAGGAUCCAAGCGUUAUCCGGAUUCAUUGGGUUUAAAGGGUGCGUAGGCGGAAUGAUAAGUCAGUGGUGAAAUCUCGGAGCUUAACUCCGAAACUGCCAUUGAUACUGUCAAUCUUGAGUACAUUUGAUGUGGGCGGAAUGUGUCAUGUAGCGGUGAAAUGCUUAGAUAUGACACAGAACACCGAUUGCGAAGGCAGCUCACAAAACUGUAACUGACGCUGAGGCACGAAGGCGUGGGUAGUCAAACAGGA